GUUCCCGUAGCUCAGCAGGAUAGAGCGCAAGAUUCCUAAUCUUGAGGCCAUGGGUUCGAAUCCCGUCGGGAACGCCA
This 77-nucleotide transfer RNA is filed under the name Alphaproteobacteria bacterium. Its description in RNAcentral is "tRNA-Arg". It matches the Rfam family "tRNA". From Rfam's summary of the family: Transfer RNA (tRNA) molecules are approximately 80 nucleotides in length. Their secondary structure includes four short double-helical elements and three loops (D, anti-codon, and T loops). Further hydrogen bonds mediate the characteristic L-shaped molecular structure. tRNAs have two regions of fundamental functional importance: the anti-codon, which is responsible for specific mRNA codon recognition, and the 3' end, to which the tRNAs corresponding amino acid is attached (by aminoacyl-tRNA synthetases). tRNAs cope with the degeneracy of the genetic code in two manners: having more than one tRNA (with a specific anti-codon) for a particular amino acid; and 'wobble' base-pairing, i.e. permitting non-standard base-pairing at the 3rd anti-codon position. The record is from RNAcentral. Lineage: Bacteria; Pseudomonadati; Pseudomonadota; Alphaproteobacteria. RNAcentral also lists the same sequence under 1 other name.